UACGUAGGGUGCGAGCGUUAAUCGGAAUUACUGGGCGUAAAGUGUGCGCAGGCGGCCGCGCGAGUCGAGUGUGAAAUCCCCGAGCUUAACUUGGGAAUUGCGCUCGAAACUACGUGGCUGGAGUGUGGCAGAGGAAGGUGGAAUUCCACGUGUAGCGGUGAAAUGCGUAGAGAUGUGGAGGAACACCGAUGGCGAAGGCAGCCUUCUGGGCCAACACUGACGCUCAUGCACGAAAGCGUGGGGAGCAAACAGG
RNAcentral lists this ribosomal RNA (253 nucleotides) under uncultured bacterium. RNAcentral's name for it is "partial 16S ribosomal RNA". It matches the Rfam family "Bacterial small subunit ribosomal RNA", at positions 524 to 776 of the family's 1533-position model. The record is from RNAcentral.